CUACGUGCCAGCAGCCGCGGUAAUACGGAAGGUCCGGGCGUUAUCCGGAUUUAUUGGGUUUAAAGGGAGCGUAGGCUGGAGAUUAAGUGUGUUGUGAAAUGUAGACGCUCAACGUCUGACUUGCAGCGCAUACUGGUUUCCUUGAGUACGCACAACGUCGGCGGAAUUCGUCGUGUAGCGGUGAAAUGCUUAGAUAUGACGAAGAACUCCGAUUGCGAAGGCAGCUGACGGGAGCGCAACUGACGCUGAAGCUCGAAGGUGCGGGUAUCGAACAGGAUUAGAUACCCUGGUAGUCCGCACAGUAAACGAUGGAUGCCCGCUGUUGGUACCUGGUAUCAGCGGCUAAGCGAAAGCAUUAAGCAUCCCACCUGGGGAGUACGCCGGCAACGGUGAAACUCAAAGGAAUUGACGGGGGCCCGCACAAGCGGAGGAACAUGUGGUUUAAUUCGAUGAUACGCGAGGAACCUUACCCGGGCUUGAA
RNAcentral lists this ribosomal RNA (481 nucleotides) under uncultured bacterium. Its description in RNAcentral is "bacterial SSU rRNA". It matches the Rfam family "Bacterial small subunit ribosomal RNA", at positions 501 to 985 of the family's 1533-position model. The record is from RNAcentral.